CCCGCCACUAUGCCAUUCUGAUGUGAUUGGUAAUAAUCCAGUGGUGUGCUUAGAUCCGCAUCCAUCUUAGGAAACAGGCUCCCUCUACCAGUGAGUGACUCUGUGCCGAAAGUUUGGUGACAGUU
This is a small nucleolar RNA of Rana temporaria (common frog), 125 nucleotides long. RefSeq annotates it as small nucleolar RNA SNORA65. The transcript has a single exon. The record is from RefSeq and is a predicted model, not a curated record. NCBI's taxonomy places the organism in Eukaryota, Metazoa, Chordata, Amphibia, Anura, Ranidae.